This 346-nucleotide ribosomal RNA is filed under the name uncultured bacterium. RNAcentral describes it as "partial 16S ribosomal RNA". It matches the Rfam family "Bacterial small subunit ribosomal RNA", at positions 338 to 681 of the family's 1533-position model. The record is from RNAcentral.
CCUACGGGAGACAGGAGUGAGGAAUAUUGGUCAAUGGGCGCUAGCCUGAACCAGCCAAGUAGCGUGAAGGAUGACGGCCCUAUGGGUUGUAAACUUCUUUUAUAGGGGAAUAAAGUGCAGUAUGUAUACGGCUUUGCAUGGACCUUAUGAACAAGGAUAGGCUAACUCCGUGCCAACAGCCGCGGUAAUACGGAGGGUCCGAGCGUUAUCCGGCUUGAUUGGGUUGAUAGGGAGCGUAGGCGGGUUGUUAAGUCAGUUGUGAAAGUUUGCGGCUCCACCGUAAAAUUGCAGUUGAUACUGGCAUCCUUGAGUCCAGUAGAGGUAGGCGGACUUCCUUGUGUAGCGG